Molecule: non-coding RNA, 1714 nt
Organism: Macaca mulatta (Rhesus monkey)
Lineage: Eukaryota; Metazoa; Chordata; Mammalia; Primates; Cercopithecidae
Source: RefSeq, a predicted model, not a curated record
CACCCCGAGCCCGGCAGAGUUGGUGCCUCGGGAGUUCCCGGCUCCCUCCUGACCGGGGACGUGCGGCCGCCGCGCCGGGGCCUCUGCCGAGCGCUGCCCACUCCUCGCUGCGGACACCCGGGGCCAGACGGUUCUCGGGGUGGGGACCUCCUGCGCCUGGUGGGAUGUUAGCAGCACCCUGGCCCCCGCUCUCCGGUUAUCAGCAGCAACCCCCGCCCCAGCUUUGACACCCAAACUCUGCAGAUGAGGCCGAACCCCGCCCCGCCCCCGUGCCCCGGGGCAGAAUCACCUGCUCGAGUGUGGUCGUUCCCCGGGUGGUCACCGCGGCCACCACGUGCCUGAACCAUUGCGGGGGACAGCGGAGACCCCCGCCCGGACUGGGGAGGCCCUACAGACUCAGGCCGGAGAGGGGGAGCGAGAGGGUGCCGAGGGCCCGCCAGGCGGGAGAGGCCGGGGCUGGCCCUCCAGGCGGUCCCAGCUGCGAUCACAAGCUGGCUUCUCUGUGCCGCGGGUCAGUGGCCUUGCCCGAGACUAGUCAGCUCCAGAGCCGAGCGCAGCAUCCAGCGAUGGGGAAGCUUGGCCUUGUCCCCUUUUCCAGCCAAGAUACCUUCCAGGAGGACUUGCAAACGACCUGUGCAAGUCUGAAUAACUGGGUUGUGACUACCAGAGGAGGUGGGGAGAGGGCUUUGAAAAUUGUGGGUCUGCAGGGAUGGAAGUCACCGGCAAAGGUGGGUGGAGCCGAGCCCCCAGCCCAGGAAAGCUGGAACAAGGGUGAAGGCCUGAAGAACUGGAAGGCGAUGACAGUGACCAGUGAAGGUAGUUUCAUGGUAAGGAUCUGUUUAGCGCACCUACUCCAUCAGAAACCUGCAGCCAGGACCUUGCCCAGCACACCAAGUGACAUCGCACUGGGGCUCGAGGUCUGGUUGAGGUGCAUUUCGGAGCUUGGGGAAUGCCCCACCCGCCCCCAUCUGCUCUAGGAUUGUCCCUCCCACCACCCCCAUACUGCAGGUACCAGGGUGCCCAGGCUGCGGUGGAGAGGGACCUGUGGCUUCACACCUGUGCACACCUGUGCAGUGCACAGCAACCACUUUCCAUGUCCUCCAAGCCUGAGACAGCAGCCCCCCCAGGCCCGGUCCACACCUGAAGGGCCACAUGGCCUGUCAGGGUCCAGAUCAUCACACCACAGAAGAGGCAGGGGCAGUGCUGGGACCUCUUGAGUUAUAGAUGCGGACGUGGGGAACUCACGCCCUGUGGUGGCCUGCUUAGGGUCUCAGAGCCCCUGGUGGCUGCUAGACCGAAGCAGAGAGGCCACCUCUGGGCAGCAGGCAGCUGGUUCCAGCCUAGGCUGGGGCAGAGAUCUGCCACCUGGCGGGAUGCCCAGCCUUCUGUGCCCAGCAGGCUGUCCUAAGACUGGGAUCGUAUGAUGGUGAGUAUGGGUCCCAUGUGUGCUUUUCAACACCCAUAGAAAAUACAACACAAGAGUGCAUCCUGAUGGAGACUUCAGACGUUUGUGAUAAUAACGGAUCAAUAUUGGUUCUUGGCCUGUCACACGCCUACACCCUAAUGAGAGAAGUCUUGAGGUUUUCAAAUGUCUGUUGACGGCCAUUGUGCUGCCCAAGAUGACCAGUCAACUGAAUCCACUCGCUAAAGAAGCAGCUCCUCCCGGAGAAGCUGGAUUCCUCCAGAAAAACAUUAAACGGUUUCCCCAACUGUG